GCCAAGUUCUAGAUAGCUGCUUGAGUGACAUUUUUGUGAGACAUGAACAAAGGUAUCCAGUCCCAGGAAAGUGCUGUGGUGGGCAAAAACCUCUGGACACAUCAACAGAACCAGGAACAAGAUAAGAGUUGGCAGGAGGGUAAGAUCAAAGCUGAUGAAAUCCAGAUCUCUAAAGAACUGAAUUGCCUCAUGUAUUUUUGUUCAUCACAAAGAAAAUAAACAAAACCAAAACCAG
This is a long non-coding RNA of Mauremys reevesii (Reeves's turtle), 235 nucleotides long. RefSeq lists it as uncharacterized. The transcript is spliced from 3 exons. Lineage: Eukaryota; Metazoa; Chordata; Testudines; Geoemydidae. The record is from RefSeq and is a predicted model, not a curated record.